Molecule: non-coding RNA, 23 nt
Filed under: Arabidopsis thaliana (thale cress)
Lineage: Eukaryota; Viridiplantae; Streptophyta; Magnoliopsida; Brassicales; Brassicaceae
Source: RNAcentral
UCCCAAGGCUCGCUUCGGCGGGU